GAGACCCGUACCCACAGUUGCCAGCGGCUGCUCCGGCAGGCUGGGUACACUGUGGGGACCGCCUCUGCUAAAGAGGAGGAAGGAGCGGGCGACGGUAGGUCAGUAUGCCCCGAAUUCUCCGGGCUACACGCGGGCUACAAUGGAUGGGACAAUGGGCUCCGACACCGAAAGGUGAAGGCAAUCUCUUAAACCCAUUCUUAGUUCGGAUUGAGGGCUGAAACUCGCCCUCAUGAAGCUGGAAUCCGUAGUAAUCGCGUUUCAACAUAGCGCGGUGAAUAC
Molecule: ribosomal RNA, 279 nt
Filed under: uncultured archaeon
Lineage: Archaea
Description: partial 16S rRNA
Rfam family: Archaeal small subunit ribosomal RNA
Source: RNAcentral